UAGGGAAUAUUGCAAAAUGGGCGAAAGCCCGAUGCAGCAACGCUGCGUGGGCGAUGAAGGCCUUCGGGUCGUAAAGCCCUUUUUGAGGGGAUGAGGAAGGACAGUACCCUCAGAAUAAGCCUCGGCUAACUACGUGCCAGCAGCCGCGGUAAAACGUAGGAGGCGAGCGUUAUCCGGAUUUACUGGGCGUAAAGCGCGUGCAGGCGGAUUGGAGAGUUGGAUGUGAAAGCUCCCGGCUUAACUGGGAGAGGUCGUUCAAUACUUCCAGUCUUGAGUGCAGUAGAGGGAAGGGGAAUUCCGGGUGUAGUGGUGAAAUGCGUAGAUAUCCGGAGGAACACCAGUGGCGAAAGCGGCUUCCUGAACUGUAACUGACGCUCAGACGCGAAAGCUAGGGUAGCAA
RNAcentral lists this ribosomal RNA (400 nucleotides) under uncultured bacterium. Its description in RNAcentral is "bacterial SSU rRNA". It matches the Rfam family "Bacterial small subunit ribosomal RNA", at positions 355 to 771 of the family's 1533-position model. The record is from RNAcentral.